This is a long non-coding RNA of Ictalurus punctatus (channel catfish), 605 nucleotides long. The record is from Ensembl. Lineage: Eukaryota; Metazoa; Chordata; Actinopteri; Siluriformes; Ictaluridae.
CUCGCCUUUGUUAUCCCUUUAUAUAUAUUUUUUAUAUCCACAUAGGUACCCCUGUUUUAUACUCCGAUUAUGUGGAGAGUAUUUCAUGAAAUGCCUCCGUAUUCUCAUCCAGACAUCAAAGAAAGUUUUAUACAAAGAGCGAUUUCUUCACGACGGUGAAUCUUCAUGGAUUUCCACUGGUGCUGGUGAUGUGUGAAGCCUGGUUCCGUAUGGCACCCUUCAGGCGGGGGCCCUUCUCCUGUCAAGCUUGGAAUGGAGCCCCAUGCCGAGAGUGAGGGUCCACGCUCGACAGGGGAACUACACGACACUGUUGUUUCAGAAUCGCCACUUGAUUUACGCUCGUCACAGCGGAAAGGGGUCGUCAUGUCUCCAGACACCUUUCAAGAAUGCCUUUGACAAAAGAAGAACUUAUGGCUGGAUUGGGAAGCUGUCGCAAGGUUGUGAUGGACUUGCGAUGAACAGGAAACAUGGCAAGCACAUCACACACGACACUGCUGUUAAACUGGACAUGCCUGGACGUGUUGUGGACCAACCGAGAAUUGGACGUCCAUGAACAUCCACCGACGAAGGCACAACCACCGUGGUGUUGGCAAACAUAGUCCCCU